GUGAGUCAUCGAAUCUUUGAACGCACAUUGCGCCCGCCAGUAUUCUGGCGGGCAUGCCUGUUCGAGCGUCAUUUCAACCCUCAGGCCCAGCCUGGCGUUGGGGAUCGGCGCGGCGCCCCCUCACCGGGGCGCUGCCGGCCCCGAAAUAUAGUGGCGGUCUCGCUGUAGUCCUCCUCUGCGUAGUAGCUAACACCUCGCACUGGAACGCGGCGCGGCCAUGCCGUAAAACACCCCACUUCUGAAAGUUGACCUCGGAUCAGGUAGGAAUACCCGCUGAACUUAAGCAUAUCAAUAAGCGGAGGA
This 303-nucleotide unclassified non-coding RNA is filed under the name Myrothecium sp. Its description in RNAcentral is "partial contains 5.8S ribosomal RNA, internal transcribed spacer 2, and large subunit ribosomal RNA". The stretch from base 1 to 71 matches the Rfam family "5.8S ribosomal RNA", at positions 84 to 154 of the family's 154-position model. The record is from RNAcentral. Lineage: Eukaryota; Fungi; Ascomycota; Sordariomycetes; Hypocreales; Stachybotryaceae.